AAAAAAGUCACCCUGAGCAGGAAAGAAAUAUCUUAAAAAUUCCUUUUUCAGAUGACUUGCUGUGUAGUUCAUUAGCAAGAGACACAAAAAGUACUUUCUAAAAUAAUAAUGACCCAGAACCUUGCUAUUUGAGAUAACAAGGCUCUGUUUUUGCAGGUGGCCUUCUACUCAAAGAACAAAAACUGGAAGCACCCAUUGAAUUGCCCUGUUUACAUGUGUUGAGUCAUUCUAAUGAAACAGAGCUAAUCAAGCCCUGGGUACAAAGCCCUUUAUGUUCACGAAGGAAAGGACCAGCCUCAGAUUCACUAACUUCCAGAUGCAAACACUUAUAUGGGCCUCUGCAAAGACACCAACCUGCUGUGGGUGACCUCGAAGGCAGAGCUGACUGUUAGAUAGACAACAUGAGCCUCAGCAGAAUUUACAGUUUUCUAGUGGCCACAUUUUAAAAAGUAAUGAUAAAUAGGGAUUCAGGACCUACUUGCUGCCUUGCAUAUCACGGAUGUUCAGUCGAUGUUCAUCUGAGACAACAUCACGCGGAAGGAGACGGGCCAAUUACUCAGGGUAGAUACCACAUCACACAAUUCUCAUCAGUUGGGAGGCUCGCUGGGGUUGGAGAGAAUCAGACAAAGCUAGGGAAGAGGAGGUGGGGAAGUGGCCAGUGCUUAAAAAGGAAACCUAGUUUCUACAUUUAA
This 692-nucleotide long non-coding RNA is filed under the name Mustela putorius furo (domestic ferret). RNAcentral's name for it is "lncRNA (ENSMPUG00000027934.1)". Lineage: Eukaryota; Metazoa; Chordata; Mammalia; Carnivora; Mustelidae. The record is from RNAcentral.